This 446-nucleotide ribosomal RNA is filed under the name uncultured bacterium. RNAcentral describes it as "partial 16S ribosomal RNA". It matches the Rfam family "Bacterial small subunit ribosomal RNA", at positions 338 to 795 of the family's 1533-position model. The record is from RNAcentral.
CCUACGGGUGGCAGCAGUCGAGAAUCAUUCACAAUGGGGGAAACCCUGAUGGUGCGACGCCGCGUGGGGGAAUGAAGGUCUUCGGAUUGUAAACCCCUGUCAUGUGGGAGAAAAUUAAAAAGAUAGUACCACAAGAGGAAGAGACGGCUAACUCUGUGCCAGCAGCCGAGGUAAGACAGAGGUCUCAAGCGUUGUCCGGAAUCACUGGGCGUAAAGCGUGCGUAGGCGGUUUCGUAAGUCGUGUGUGAAAGGCGCGGGCUCAACCCGCGGACGGCACAUGAUACUGGGAGACUAGAGUAAGGGAGGGGGUAGCGGAAUUCUCGGUGUAGCAGUGAAAUGCGUAGAUAUCGAGAGGAACACUCGUGGCGAAGGCGGGUUCCUGGACAUUAACUGACGCUGAGGCACGAAGGCCAGGGGAGCGAAAGGGAUUAGAUACCCGAGUAGUC